UACGAAGGGUGCAAACGUUGUUCGGAUUUACUGGGCGUAAAGGGCGCGCAGGCGGCUCAUUUUGUCAGGCGUGAAAGCCCCGGGCUUAACCUGGGAACUGCGUUUGAUACGGAUGGGCUAGAGUUCGGGAGAGGAGAGUGGAAUUCCCAGUGUAGAGGUGAAAUUCGUAGAUAUUGGGAAGAACACCGGUGGCGAAGGCGGCUCUCUGGACCGAUACUGACGCUGAGGCGCGAAAGCGUGGGGAGCAAACAGG
Molecule: ribosomal RNA, 253 nt
Filed under: uncultured bacterium
Lineage: Bacteria
Description: partial 16S ribosomal RNA
Rfam family: Bacterial small subunit ribosomal RNA
Source: RNAcentral